GCUCUCUCUCUCCCAGAUUAAACAGCCUUCCUGACCAUCUUAGUGUUUUGUUUCUUUUGCUCCUUACUUUGUGUUUAUUUCCUUUUGAGGAUGGAGGUCUGGUAGGUCAGUUUUCGUGGCUUUAUUUGUUAGUUUAAUAAUGCACUGUUUUUGGUAGUUUAUGGGGGGGAGGUUCUGGGUUCGAUGGCCCAUUGUGUGGUUGGCCCAGACUUCCCCAUUCUUUUGUUCUGUUUGGCCAGGCCUCCAGACUCCCGUAGUUUUGGUUAAUUAAUGGCAACUGUUUGUUAGUAAAGUCUUUUUGCUUUGAAACUAA
Molecule: long non-coding RNA, 313 nt
Organism: Anguilla rostrata (American eel)
Lineage: Eukaryota; Metazoa; Chordata; Actinopteri; Anguilliformes; Anguillidae
Exons: 2
Source: RefSeq, a predicted model, not a curated record